CCUACGGGGGGCUGCAGUGGGGAAUAUUGGACAAUGGGGGGAACCCUGAUCCAGCCAUGCCGCGUGUGUGAAGAAGGCCCUCGGGUUGUAAAGCACUUUCAGUGAGGAAGAACGCCUGGUGGUUAAUACCCAUCAGGAAAGACAUCACUCACAGAAGAAGCACCGGCUAACUCCGUGCCAGCAGCCGCGGUAAUACGGAGGGUGCGAGCGUUAAUCGGAAUUACUGGGCGUAAAGCGCGCGUAGGUGGCUGGAUAAGCCGGUUGUGAAAGCCCCGGGCUCAACCUGGGAACGGCAUCCGGACCUGUCAAGCUAGAGUGCAGGAGAGGAAGGUAGAAUUCCCGGUGUAGCGGUGAAAUGCGUAGAGAUCGGGAGGAAUACCAGUGGCGAAGGCGGCCUUCUGGACUGACACUGACACUGAGGUGCGAAAGCGUGGGUAGCAAACAGGAUUAGAUACCCCAGUAGUC
Molecule: ribosomal RNA, 465 nt
Filed under: Vreelandella stevensii
Lineage: Bacteria; Pseudomonadati; Pseudomonadota; Gammaproteobacteria; Oceanospirillales; Halomonadaceae
Description: partial 16S ribosomal RNA
Rfam family: Bacterial small subunit ribosomal RNA
Source: RNAcentral